GGGCCUCUAGCUCCAAAUGGUUAGAGCACUGGACUUUUAAUCCAUGGGUUGUGGGUUCGAAUCCCACGGGGCCUA
RNAcentral lists this transfer RNA (75 nucleotides) under Actinobaculum suis. It matches the Rfam family "tRNA". From Rfam's summary of the family: Transfer RNA (tRNA) molecules are approximately 80 nucleotides in length. The record is from Rfam by way of RNAcentral. Lineage: Bacteria; Bacillati; Actinomycetota; Actinomycetes; Actinomycetales; Actinomycetaceae.